ACUGGGAUUGCUGGGUCAAAUGGUGGUUUCAGUCCAAGUUUUCUUAGGAAUCUCAAUAUUCCUUUGCAGAACGUUUGCACUAAUAUGCAGUCCCACCAGCAAU
RNAcentral lists this microRNA precursor (103 nucleotides) under Marmota monax (woodchuck). Lineage: Eukaryota; Metazoa; Chordata; Mammalia; Rodentia; Sciuridae. The record is from RNAcentral.